GACGAACGCUGGCGCCGUGCCUAAUACAUGCAAGUUGAGCGCUGAAGGUUGGUACUUGUACCAACUGGAUGAGCAGCGAACGGGUGAGUAACGCGUGGGGAAUCUGCCUUUGAGCGGGGGACAACAUUUGGAAACGAAUGCUAAUACCGCAUAAAAACUUUAAACACAAGUUUUAAGUUUGAAAGAUGCAAUUGCAUCACUCAAAGAUGAUCCCGCGUUGUAUUAGCUAGUUGGUGAGGUAAAGGCUCACCAAGGCGAUGAUACAUAGCCGACCUGAGAGGGUGAUCGGCCACAUUGGGACUGAGACACGGCCCAAACUCCUACGGGAGGCAGCAGUAGGGAAUCUUCGGCAAUGGACGAAAGUCUGACCGAGCAACGCCGCGUGAGUGAAGAAGGUUUUCGGAUCGUAAAACUCUGUUGGUAGAGAAGAACGUUGGUGAGAGUGGAAAGCUCAUCAAGUGACGGUAACUACCCAGAAAGGGACGGCUAACUACGUG
RNAcentral lists this ribosomal RNA (497 nucleotides) under uncultured bacterium. RNAcentral's name for it is "partial 16S ribosomal RNA". It matches the Rfam family "Bacterial small subunit ribosomal RNA", at positions 28 to 507 of the family's 1533-position model. The record is from RNAcentral.